GACGUAGGUGGCGAACGUUAUCCGGAAUUAUUGGGCGUAAAGGAUGCGUAGAUGGUGUAGUAAGUUAUCGGUGGCAAAUCGAGGCUCAACCUCGUGGAAGUCGGUAAUACUGCUAUGCUAGAGGAUAGGAGAGGUUAACGGAACUCCCUGUGGAGCGGUGAAAUGCGUAGAUAUAGGGAAGAACACCAAUAAAGGCGAAGGCAGUUAACUAUUCUAUUCCUGACAUUGAGGCAUGAAAGCGUGGGGAGCAAAACGG
RNAcentral lists this ribosomal RNA (256 nucleotides) under uncultured bacterium. Its description in RNAcentral is "partial 16S ribosomal RNA". It matches the Rfam family "Bacterial small subunit ribosomal RNA", at positions 524 to 776 of the family's 1533-position model. The record is from RNAcentral.